Molecule: ribosomal RNA, 265 nt
Filed under: uncultured archaeon
Lineage: Archaea
Description: partial 16S ribosomal RNA
Rfam family: Archaeal small subunit ribosomal RNA
Source: RNAcentral
AGUCACUGACAUUAGAUACCCCUGUAGUCCAGGGUGUAAACGCCGCAGACUUGGUGUUGGAAGCCCUUUGGGGGCAUUCAGUGCCGGAGAGAAGUUGUUAAGUCUGCUACUUGGGGAGUACGUCCGCAAGGAUGAAACUUAAAGGAAUUGGCGGGGGAGCACCGCAACGGGAGGAGCGUGCGGUUUAAUUGGAUUCAACACCGUAAAACUCACCAGGGAAGACUGUUACAUGAAGGCCGAGAUGAAGACUCUGCUAGAUUUUCAG